RNAcentral lists this ribosomal RNA (464 nucleotides) under uncultured bacterium. RNAcentral's name for it is "partial 16S ribosomal RNA". It matches the Rfam family "Bacterial small subunit ribosomal RNA", at positions 28 to 507 of the family's 1533-position model. The record is from RNAcentral.
GACGAACGCUGGCGGCGUGCUUAACACAUGCAAGUCGAACGGAAAGGCCCUGCUUGCAGGGUACUCGAGUGGCGAACGGGUGAGUAACACGUGGGUGAUCUGCCUUGCACUUCGGGAUAAGCCUGGGAAACUGGGUCUAAUACCGGAUAGGAGCCAUUUUUAGUGUGAUGGUUGGAAAGUUUUUUCGGUGUAGGAUGAGCUCGCGGCCUAUCAGCUUGUUGGUGGGGUAAUGGCCUACCAAGGCGGCGACGGGUAGCCGGCCUGAGAGGGUGGACGGCCACAUUGGGACUGAGAUACGGCCCAGACUCCUACGGGAGGCAGCAGUGGGGAAUAUUGCACAAUGGGCGCAAGCCUGAUGCAGCGACGCCGCGUGGGGGAUGACGGCCUUCGGGUUGUAAACUCCUUUCGCUAGGGACGAAGCUUUUGUGACGGUACCUAGAUAAGAAGCACCGGCUAACUACGUG